RNAcentral lists this ribosomal RNA (506 nucleotides) under uncultured bacterium. Its description in RNAcentral is "partial 16S ribosomal RNA". It matches the Rfam family "Bacterial small subunit ribosomal RNA", at positions 30 to 523 of the family's 1533-position model. The record is from RNAcentral.
AUUGAACGCUGGCGGCAGGCCUAACACAUGCAAGUCGAACGGCAGCACAGAAGAGCUUGCUCUUUGGGUGGCGAGUGGCGGACGGGUGAGUAAUGUCUGGGAAACUGCCCGAUGGAGGGGGAUAACUACUGGAAACGGUAACUAAUACCGCAUAACGUCGCAAGACCAAAGUGGGGGACCUUCGGGCCUCACACCAUCGGAUGUGCCCAGAUGGGAUUAGCUAGUAGGUGGGGUAAUGGCUCACCUAGGCGACGAUCCCUAGCUGGUCUGAGAGGAGGACCAGCCACACUGGAACUGAGACACGGUCCAGACUCCUACGGGAGGCAGCAGUGGGGAAUAUUGCACAAUGGGCGCAAGCCUGAUGCAGCCAUGCCGCGUGUAUGAAGAAGGCCUUCGGGUUGUAAAGUACUUUCAGCGGGGAGGAAGGCGGUGAGGUUAAUAACCUUGCCGAUUGACGUUACCCGCAGAAGAAGCACCGGCUAACUCCGUGCCAGCAGCCGCCGUAA